Molecule: ribosomal RNA, 525 nt
Filed under: uncultured bacterium
Lineage: Bacteria
Description: bacterial SSU rRNA
Rfam family: Bacterial small subunit ribosomal RNA
Source: RNAcentral
GAGUUUGAUCCUGGCUCAGGAUGAACGCUGGCGGCGUGCUUAACACAUGCAAGUCGAACGGGCUCAUAUUGAAACCUAGUGAUGUAUGAGUUAGUGGCGGACGGGUGAGUAACGCGUGGAGAACCUGCCGUAUACUGGGGGAUAACACUUAGAAAUAGGUGCUAAUACCGCAUAAGCGCACAGCUUCGCAUGAAGCAGUGUGAAAAGCUCCGGUGGUAUACGAUGGAUCCGCGUCUGAUUAGUUUGUUGGCGGGGUAACGGCCCACCAAGACGACGAUCAGUAGCCGGACUGAGAGGUUGGCCGGCCACAUUGGGACUGAGACACGGCCCAGACUCCUACGGGAGGCAGCAGUGGGGAAUAUUGGGCAAUGGGCGCAAGCCUGACCCAGCAACGCCGCGUGAAGGAAGAAGGCCCUCGGGUUGUAAACUUCUUUUAUCAGGGACGAAGAAGUGACGGUACCUGAUGAAUAAGCCACGGCUAACUACGUGCCAGCAGCCGCGGUAAUACGUAGGUGGCAAGCGUUA